Molecule: ribosomal RNA, 519 nt
Filed under: uncultured bacterium
Lineage: Bacteria
Description: bacterial SSU rRNA
Rfam family: Bacterial small subunit ribosomal RNA
Source: RNAcentral
AGUUUGAUCCUGGCUCAGAUUGAACGCUGGCGGCAGGCCUAACACAUGCAAGUCGAGCGGAUGAGAGGAGCUUGCUCCUUGAUUCAGCGGCGGACGGGUGAGUAAUGCCUAGGAAUCUGCCUAGUAGUGGGGGACAACGUUUCGAAAGGAACGCUAAUACCGCAUACGUCCUACGGGAGAAAGUGGGGGAUCUUCGGACCUCACGCUAUUAGAUGAGCCUAGGUCGGAUUAGCUAGUUGGUAGGGUAAAGGCCUACCAAGGCGACGAUCCGUAACUGGUCUGAGAGGAUGAUCAGUCACACUGGAACUGAGACACGGUCCAGACUCCUACGGGAGGCAGCAGUGGGGAAUAUUGGACAAUGGGCGAAAGCCUGAUCCAGCCAUGCCGCGUGUGUGAAGAAGGCCCUCGGGUCGUAAAGCACUUUAAGUUUGGGAGGAAGGGCUCAUAGCGAAUACCUGUGAGUUUUGACGUUACCAACAGAAUAAGCACCGGCUAACUUCGUGCCAGCAGCCGCGGUAA